GAUGAACGCUGGCGGCGUGCCUAAUACAUGCAAGUCGAGCGAACGGACGCGAAGCUUGCUUCUCUGAUGUUAGCGGAGGACGGGUGAGUAACACGUGGAUAACCUACCUAUAAGACUGGGAAAACUACGGAAAAGGGGAGAUAAUACCGGAUAAUAUUUUGAACCGCAUGGUUGAAAGGUGAAAGACGGUCUUUGUGUCACUUAUAGAUGGAUCCGCGCUGCAUUGGCUGGUUGGUAAGGUAACGGCUUACCAAGGCAACGAUGCAUAGGCGACCUGAGAGGGUGGUCGGCCACCUUGGAACUGGGACGCGGUCCAGAGUCCUACGGGAGGCACCAGUAGGGAAUCUUCCGCAAUGGGCGAAAGCCUGACGGAGCAGCGCCGCGUGUGUGAUGAAGGUCUUCGGUUCGUAAAGCUCUGUUAUUAGGUAAGAACAUAUGUGUAAGUAACUGUGCACAUCUUGACGGUACCUAAUCAGAAAGCCACGGCUAACUACGUG
This 497-nucleotide ribosomal RNA is filed under the name uncultured bacterium. RNAcentral describes it as "partial 16S ribosomal RNA". It matches the Rfam family "Bacterial small subunit ribosomal RNA", at positions 28 to 507 of the family's 1533-position model. The record is from RNAcentral.